This 396-nucleotide ribosomal RNA is filed under the name uncultured bacterium. RNAcentral's name for it is "partial 16S ribosomal RNA". It matches the Rfam family "Bacterial small subunit ribosomal RNA", at positions 523 to 918 of the family's 1533-position model. The record is from RNAcentral.
AUACGUAGGUGGCAAGCGUUGUCCGGAAUAACUGGGCGUAAAGCGCAUGUAGACGGCAUGAUAAGCCAAAUGUGAAAUGUAGGGGCUCAACCCCUGCACUGCGAUUGGAACUGUCAAGCUUGAGUGCAGGAGAGGCAAAUGGAAUUCCCAGUGUAGCAGUGAAAUGCGUAGAUAUUAGGAGGAACACCAGAGGCGAAGGCGGCUGACUGGACUGUAACUGACGUUGAGGCUCGAAGGCGUGGGGAGCAAACAGGAUUAGAUACCCUGGUAGUCCACGCUGUAAACGAUGAAUACUAGGUGUGGGGGGACUGACCCCCUCCGUGCCGCAGUUAACACAAUAAGUAUUCCACCUGGGGAGUACGAUCGCAAGAUUGAAACUCAAAUGAAUUGGCGGGG